Molecule: long non-coding RNA, 915 nt
Organism: Dioscorea cayenensis subsp. rotundata (Guinea yam)
Lineage: Eukaryota; Viridiplantae; Streptophyta; Magnoliopsida; Dioscoreales; Dioscoreaceae
Exons: 3
Source: RefSeq, a predicted model, not a curated record
GUUGUAUUAGCUGGACUUCUGAAUGCAUUGUAUCUUCAGUCAUUGCUUCUAUCUUUAAUCAACUUCUCCAACAAACCCCCCCUUAAUUGAAGAUUACAGUGUCCCAGCAGCUUUAUUGUGGGAGUUCGACUUUUUCUAUACCUCUCUUAUGUUUUGUUUCUUGAGUGUAACUUGUUUGUUUAAGUCUUUUGAGUAUCCUCUUGUGUUAGGACCUUAGUUAAGGUCUUUUGGGAGGUUAAGGUGGAGGAGAACACUUAAAAAGAGCUCACCUGAAAGCCUCACGGCCUCCAUGCGGGUGCAUGGAGCCCGUGAGGGUUUCAGAAAAUGGUCUCACGGCCUCCCUUGCACCCGCAAGGCAGCCCGUGAGCCAUGGCAUAUAUAUAUGGUUUCUUGGAGAUUCUAGAGCCUUCUUGAGCUCUUUUUUCUCUUCUUCUUCAUCCUCCUCCCAUUUCCUUCAUUCCUUAUCUUCAAAACACUCAUUUUGAUCCCCAAAAACAAAGGAAGAAGUGGAGAUUUCAUCUCCUUCCAUCAAGAAGAGUUCGAUUAGGGUUUAGAGAGUAAUCGGAGUUGAGGCAUCAAGCAAAGGAAAAGAGUUGCUAGACAAGUGAACCCAGAGGGGAUUAGCUCGCCAAGUUUGUGUUAGCAAAGCAGCGGGAUAGAAGCGUGAAGUGCUGGGCAUACUAGUUUGUAUUAUAUAAGCUGUGUAUGACAUUUAAGUAUUUUAUCAUGUAUUAGCAGGAUCCACUAGGAUGUUACAACUUGAUAUUUUGUUAUAUUUUCUUGGACAUUCUUAUAUGUGUGAAUUUGGAUUAUAUAAUGUAUGACAGUCAUACUCAGUGUCCAAGGGAUGGUGUCCUUAUCUGAUGACUUUCAAAGUUAUGAUUUUUCCAUGUAUCGUAUCAUGUAUUAUAGUGA